RNAcentral lists this transfer RNA (65 nucleotides) under Pseudoeurycea melanomolga (black false brook salamander). RNAcentral describes it as "tRNA-Val". The record is from RNAcentral. Lineage: Eukaryota; Metazoa; Chordata; Amphibia; Caudata; Plethodontidae.
CAGAAUAUAGCUUAAACAAAGCAUUUUGCUUACACCAAAAAAAUAUCUAAAAAUAGAUUAUUCUG